Molecule: long non-coding RNA, 1420 nt
Filed under: Gossypium barbadense (sea-island cotton)
Lineage: Eukaryota; Viridiplantae; Streptophyta; Magnoliopsida; Malvales; Malvaceae
Description: long non-coding RNA (GBAR_LNC010810)
Source: RNAcentral
AGAUUUAAAAUAAAAUAUUAUGCUAAAAUUUUAUUUAAAUAGGUGGAAUCAUUCACCAAGUUACGGGAGCAUACCUGUAAUAGCCUAAAUCUGCCCGGGCUUUUAAAAAAAUAAAAAAAUAAAAAAAUAAAUGUUUGUUUAUUACAGUCCAUGUACAAAGCCCAAAAUUUAUUUACAGCCCAAUUACAUUCUAUUGACCCAAAUACUUAAAGCUACCCAGCAGACCCAUUACACCCUUAACCUAAAACUCAAUGGCCCAAGUAGACCCAAAGCGGAGAGGCCCGGAUGGCCCAAAUGGUUAGCAGAACUUGAAAGACCUAGGGUUUCAUAAGCCCUAGGCGCCGCAGUCAAUGUGACGAUUCGUCUCGCAAUGUUCCAGCUGGCCCUCAUCAAUGUUGGUCAGAUUGAUGGUCACUAGAUCCUUUGGGCAUUCCGAGCGUCACCACCGCAAUUUCAGGCUUCAUCACUGACCUUUGCACCUCCAUCGGUGCCGGGAUCUUCGCAGCAGAAGCCGUCCUGUGGUCAUCAAGGCAAGAUUCGCAUCCACACCGCGAUCUUCGCUGGAUUUUUGGUACCUGCAAGACAAAAAAGGAAACCAACAGACACAGAAAAAGAAAAUGUAAUAGAAAAGGAAACUAAGCGAACAAAGGCAAGAAAUCGAGCAGAGAAUAUUCAAACUUGUAAACAGAGGCUAUAAAAGCCGAAGGAUUUUACUGUAAUAGGGACGAGAUUUUUUUUUACAGAGAAAAAGAAUACAUAGAUUCAAUAAAAAACACAGUGUUACACAAACUUACAGAUACCAACAGUCGAUUGAGAGUAAAGGUAAUUAUUUUAUUUUUUUUUCCUUUUUACGGAAACAUGCAUACAUCGAAUAAACUACUGAAAUAUUAAAAGGGAAGAGGGUUACCUGUAUUUCGCUUGAAAGGGCGAGGUUUUAACCCUCCGACCAUCGUAUAUGGAGGCGCGUGAGGCGCGUGAGGCGCGUGAGGCGCGUGAGGCGCGUGAGGCGCGUGAGGCGCGUGAGGCUGAAUAGCUCGGAGGCCGAAGGCCGAGACUGGAACCCCUCUUUUCCCCUCUGCAGAGAGUUUCAAACUUUUUUUUUUUCAAAACUCGGUGUAAAAUGAAUUUUGGGCUUAAGUUUUGGUUUAUAUAGCCCUAACGAAACGGUGCCGUUUUGGUUUAAUCCAAUAAGCUUAAAACGACGUUGUUUUAAGGCUCAGGAUCCGUGUGUUGACCUGAUUACUCGGGGAGGAUCCUCGUGUUUUCAUAAAGUGGGGUAAUUGCCCAAUUGGUCCUCUCGCAAUUUUAAUCUUCAUAAUUCUUUUUAUUUUUUUAAUUUAGCCCUAGUUUUUAAUUGUGAUUCAAUUUGGUCCUCACAAUGGCUUUAAAACUGAAUUCGUGGAAACAGUGUCGUUUUGGG